This 84-nucleotide ribosomal RNA is filed under the name Rhizobium leguminosarum bv. trifolii WSM2297. Its description in RNAcentral is "partial 23S ribosomal RNA". It matches the Rfam family "Bacterial large subunit ribosomal RNA", at positions 2841 to 2925 of the family's 2925-position model. The record is from RNAcentral. Lineage: Bacteria; Pseudomonadati; Pseudomonadota; Alphaproteobacteria; Hyphomicrobiales; Rhizobiaceae.
AAGACGACCACGUUGAUAGGCCGGGUGUGGAAGUGCGGCAACGCAUGAAGCUUACCGGUACUAAUAGCUCGAUCGGCUUGAUCG